RNAcentral lists this ribosomal RNA (465 nucleotides) under Vreelandella stevensii. RNAcentral describes it as "partial 16S ribosomal RNA". It matches the Rfam family "Bacterial small subunit ribosomal RNA", at positions 338 to 795 of the family's 1533-position model. Lineage: Bacteria; Pseudomonadati; Pseudomonadota; Gammaproteobacteria; Oceanospirillales; Halomonadaceae. The record is from RNAcentral.
CCUACGGGAGGCAGCAGUGGGGAAUAUUGGACAAUGGGGGCAACCCUGAUCCAGCCAUGCCGCGUGUGUGAAGAAGGCCCUCGGGUUGUAAAGCACUUUCAGUGAGGAAGAACGCCUGGUGGUUAAUACCCAUCAGGAAAGACAUCACUCACAGAAGAAGCACCGGCUAACUCCGUGCCAGCAGCCGCGGUAAUACGGAGGGUGCGAGCGUUAAUCGUAAUUACUGGGCGUAAAGCGCGCGUAGGUGGCUUGAUAAGCCGGUUGUGAAAGCCCCGGGCUCAACCUGGGAACGGCAUCCGGAACUGUCAAGCUAGAGUGCAGGAGAGGAAGGUAGAAUUCCCGGUGUAGCGGUGAAAUGCGUAGAGAUCGGGAGGAAUACCAGUGGCGAAGGCGGCCUUCUGGACUGACACUGACACUGAGGUGCGAAAGCGUGGGUAGCAAACAGGAUUAGAUACCCUAGUAGUC